RNAcentral lists this ribosomal RNA (501 nucleotides) under uncultured bacterium. Its description in RNAcentral is "partial 16S ribosomal RNA". It matches the Rfam family "Bacterial small subunit ribosomal RNA", at positions 28 to 507 of the family's 1533-position model. The record is from RNAcentral.
GACGAACGCUGGCGGCGUGCCUAAUACAUGCAAGUCGAGCGGACCGGCUUGGGGCUUGCCUUGAUUCGGUCAGCGGCGGACGGGUGAGUAACACGUGGGCAACCUGCCCGCAAGACCGGGAUAACUCCGGGAAACCGGAGCUAAUACCGGAUAACACCGAAGACCGCAUGGUCUUCGGUUGAAAGGCGGCCUUUGGGCUGUCACUUGCGGAUGGGCCCGCGGCGCAUUAGCUAGUUGGUGAGGUAACGGCUCACCAAGGCGACGAUGCGUAGCCGGCCUGAGAGGGUGACCGGCCACACUGGGACUGAGACACGGCCCAGACUCCUACGGGAGGCAGCAGUAGGGAAUCUUCCGCAAUGGGCGAAAGCCUGACGGAGCGACGCCGCGUGAGCGAAGAAGGCCUUCGGGUCGUAAAGCUCUGUUGUGAGGGACGAAGGAGCGUCGUUCGAAGAGGGCGGCGCGGUGACGGUACCUCACGAGAAAGCCCCGGCUAACUACGUG